RNAcentral lists this small nucleolar RNA (83 nucleotides) under Leersia perrieri. RNAcentral's name for it is "snoRNA SNORD34". It matches the Rfam family "Small nucleolar RNA SNORD34". From Rfam's summary of the family: snoRNA U34 is found in intron 5 of the ribosomal protein L13a gene in humans. U34 is a member of the C/D class of snoRNA which contain C (UGAUGA) and D (CUGA) box motifs, and functions in directing site-specific 2'-O-methylation of 25S rRNAs. Although the selection of the target nucleotide requires the antisense element and the conserved box D or D' of the snoRNA, the methyltransferase activity is thought to reside in one of the protein components. Lineage: Eukaryota; Viridiplantae; Streptophyta; Magnoliopsida; Poales; Poaceae. The record is from Rfam by way of RNAcentral.
UUUUACCUAUGAUGAGUUGCGAAAAUAUUUGCCUACAUUGUUCGACUGACAUGUGAGAAAACUUUGCAACAUCUGAGGAUAAA